AUGGCUAUGUAUAGAAAUGUUUAUAGACUCCCUCCAGCCUCAGCCACGCAGCAUGGGGUGAACCUCAGUGCCCCAACACCUCCUUUCCAGCAGGCCGGUGGUUAUGGCCAGCAUGGCUACAGUACAGGUUAUGAUGACUUGACCCAAGGGACAGCAGCAGGAGACUACACCAAAGGUGGCUAUGGUGGACCAUCGCAGGCACCAAAGAAGUCUGCACGUUCUGGACCUGGCAAAGGAGUAUCGGUGUCUUCAAGCACCACCGGUCUACCUGAUAUGACUGGUUCUGUCUACAAUAAGACCCAGACUUUUGACAAGCAGGGAUUUCAUGCAGGAACCCCUCCACCUUUCAGCCUGCCCUCCGCCUUGGGUUCCACUGUGCCCCUGGCCCCUGGAGCGGCCCCUGGCUAUGCACCCCCACCAUUCCUGCACAUCUUACCAGCCCACCAGAAGCCCCACUCACUGCUGCUGCACCAUCAUCUUCCGCAGGAUGUGCAGAGUGGCUCGGUUCAGCCCAGCCAGCCCAGUUCCCUGCAGCCCAAGUCUCAAGCCUCCAAACCCGCCUACGGCAACUCUCCAUACUGGACAAACUAAACCCAAAGAGAGGGAUGGGUUGGGGCAAGGCUUACCCUGGGCAGGAGAGAACACAUGAGCACAUAUAUGGGAGCCCAGUGCCCUUUUCUAGAAUUCCCAAGACUAACUGUGUCAGCCGUGCCUCUGUGGGGAGCCUGCCUCCCAGACUGGCUAUUGUAUGUAAUGUAUUUAUGUAUGUAUUUGUAAAUGUGAUAGAAGUCCAGGGCAGUGGAGGGGAUGGCUGCAGAUGUUAGCCAGGUCUGCUCUCCCCAUUCAAGCCCCUUUUCUGCUGUAGCAAAAUAAGCCUCUCCACCCCAUCUGCCUUCAGGCCUUCUUCAUAGCUGCUGCUGCCCAGUGGGCCAUUAGGGGCAGUCUCUGGAAGGCUGGUUCAAGGCCAUUUAGGUAUAGGGGUCAGGUACCAAUGAAGAAUCACGACUUAUCUCACUCCUUUGGAAACUAUUAUUUUAGUUUUCUUUCCUGUGUAAUUCAUACCUCUAUUUCUGAGAAACUGUUCCUUUUGUCAUCUGUCAUGGUCCCCUUCCACCAAAUCUUGGGAAUAGUAGCGAUAUCUCUCCACCCAACACAAAUAUGGGCACCUGUUUUUCUUCAUAUAUAACAGGGGCUUCUGGUCUGGUCAUAUCCCUAGAGACUUACUAGAGACUGGCUGACCAUUUAAAAAAACAAUAAUCAUCUGAGUUGUUCAGCCAUUCAGCUCCCCUUUAAAAAUCAAAGAUAUCUCCAAGCAAUGCAUCUCUCUUCCAGUUGUCCUGAACCAGGUGGGCAGCUGUUUCAGGGGUUUUCUCUUGCCCAAUCCCCACCUAAUAAAGUUCUGAGAGCAAAAAA
This is an RNA transcript of Sapajus apella (tufted capuchin), 1413 nucleotides long. It is a transcript of the gene named ubiquitin-associated protein 2 pseudogene, with no coding region annotated. The record is from RefSeq and is a predicted model, not a curated record. NCBI's taxonomy places the organism in Eukaryota, Metazoa, Chordata, Mammalia, Primates, Cebidae. The transcript has a single exon.